RNAcentral lists this ribosomal RNA (616 nucleotides) under Pethia ticto (Ticto barb). RNAcentral describes it as "partial 16S ribosomal RNA". It matches the Rfam family "Bacterial large subunit ribosomal RNA", at positions 1808 to 2622 of the family's 2925-position model. Lineage: Eukaryota; Metazoa; Chordata; Actinopteri; Cypriniformes; Cyprinidae. The record is from RNAcentral.
CAAAAACAUCGCCUCUUGCAACAAAACCAAGUAUAAGAGGUCCAGCCUGCCCAGUGACCACAAGUUUAACGGCCGCGGUAUUUUGACCGUGCAAAGGUAGCGCAAUCACUUGUCUUUUAAAUAAAGACCUGUAUGAAUGGCUAAACGAGGGCUUAACUGUCUCCCAUUUCCAGUCAGUGAAAUUGAUUUAUCCGUGCAGAAGCGGGUAUAAAAAUACAAGACGAGAAGACCCUUUGGAGCUUAAGGUACAAAACUCAACCACGUCAAGCAACUCAAUAAAAAGAAGAUUAAACCUUGUGGCAAUUGAGACCCUACCUUCGGUUGGGGCGACCACGGAGGAAAACAAAGCCUCCAAGUGGAUUAGGGCCAACCCCCUAAAACUAAGAGAGACAUCUCCAAGCAACAGAACAUCUGACCAUACAUGAUCCGGCUAACCCAGCCGAUCAACGAACCAAGUUACCCUAGGGAUAACAGCGCAAUCCCCUCCCAGAGUCCAUAUCGACGAGGGGGUUUACGACCUCGAUGUUGGAUCAGGACAUCCUAAUGGUGCAGCCGCUAUUAAGGGUUCGUUUGUUCAACGAUUAAAGUCCUACGUGAUCUGAGUNCCAGACCCAGA